UAUACUUAGAAAAAUAAAACAAACAGUUAACAAGUGUAUAUAAGGCUUAUUGAACAACGUAUUGUUCAACAGUAAGACAGCAAACUUGGUAGAUGCGCAUGCAAAAUUACUAAAAUACAGUUUCUUUGUGAUUAGAUACUUGUUCGAUAAGUCGGCAAACAUGGCGUUAAAUGCGUGCAUAUUGUUAGUAAGUAUUGUUCUCCUGACAGUCUGUGAACUUCCUAUAGUACUUUCCGCCGGUGGAGCAAGUUGCUGGGCGGCACCUCUCAAUAUCUAUGGACCCACAUGCAGGUCUGACACAUCUAUAUUUGGAAGCCCCGGUCACAAAAUUCGGUAUUCAGUCAGCGUAAGCGGGAGCACACUAAUAUGUUGUAAGGGAUUUUAUUGUAAAGGUAGAACCUGCAAGCUGUACGAUAUCGGAUGUGGCCACGGGAGUUGGAGUACCCGCAGUCUGACCUGGGGCAAUAAUCUUGCUACACCGAAAAUGAAAUGUAAAGGCAAUCCUUUGGGUUCUGGAUAUUCAUUUAAGCACUAAUAGACGUAUUAUGCAAACAAACAAUAACUAUUCUAUUACUUGUAAAUGAUCAUCUUUACUGAUAACUGUUACGGAUACGUUUGAAGAAUGUUCAUAAAUUAAACCUUUCGUAUUCAUUCA
Mercenaria mercenaria is the source of this 655-nucleotide long non-coding RNA. RefSeq lists it as uncharacterized. The transcript has 3 exons. Lineage: Eukaryota; Metazoa; Mollusca; Bivalvia; Venerida; Veneridae. The record is from RefSeq and is a predicted model, not a curated record.